UACGGAGGAUCCGAGCGUUAUCCGGAUUUAUUGGGUUUAAAGGGAGCGUAGGUGGAUUGUUAAGUCAGUUGUGAAAGUUUGCGGCUCAACCGUAAAAUUGCAGUUGAAACUGGCAGUCUUGAGUACAGUAGAGGUGGGCGGAAUUCGUGGUGUAGCGGUGAAAUGCUUAGAUAUCACGAAGAACUCCGAUUGCGAAGGCAGCAUGCCGGCUCCACACUGACGCUGAGGCAUGAGAGCAUGGGGAGCAAACAGG
Molecule: ribosomal RNA, 253 nt
Filed under: uncultured Bacteroides sp.
Lineage: Bacteria; Pseudomonadati; Bacteroidota; Bacteroidia; Bacteroidales; Bacteroidaceae
Description: partial 16S ribosomal RNA
Rfam family: Bacterial small subunit ribosomal RNA
Source: RNAcentral